Brachypodium distachyon (stiff brome) is the source of this 627-nucleotide long non-coding RNA. RefSeq lists it as uncharacterized. NCBI's taxonomy places the organism in Eukaryota, Viridiplantae, Streptophyta, Magnoliopsida, Poales, Poaceae. The transcript is spliced from 2 exons. The record is from RefSeq and is a predicted model, not a curated record.
AACUACACCCCCGGCCACGCUCUCCUCCCCUUCCUAUUUUUUCCCCUUCAAAAGACGACGCAGCACAGCCUUGCUUGCAUCCUCGUCAUCCUCGCCUGGACUCCCCUCUCUCUCGAGAUCGCUCCGACGCCACCUCCAUCUCCUCAGCGCGGCAGCAGAUCGCGAGAACUCCCCGGCCGGUGCAGAGAUCAAGUGAAACAUGGCGAAGAUCAAGCCAAGAGCACUACUGGCACAGAGCAAGCAGAAGAAGAGCCCUACUAAAAUCGGGCCGACCAUGAUCGUCUACAUCGCCCUGGCCGCCCUGGUCGUGUCUUCAGUUUAUGCUUACAAGUACUGGAUGGGCAAAGGGCCAGCUGGAGCAGAAGGUGUUAUGGGAAACUAAGCCCAAGUAUGCAGUCGAUUGAUUUUGUAUUCAUGUUGGUUAUUAUCUUGCUCACUGAUUUUUGUAGUUACAGUCCGGUAAAUGGAAGUGUGGAACAGAGACAGAAUGUGCUAUGUUUAGUUCUACCCCCUGGUACAUUGUAUCAUUAUUUGUUAUUAUGUUAUAAUUCUUUCUUUGACAUGCAUGAUCUGGGAUAAUCUUGAUGGAAUGGUAUCCAUGGCAGUUGUGGUCUGCCUAGUUUUUUU